RNAcentral lists this long non-coding RNA (25767 nucleotides) under Arabidopsis lyrata. RNAcentral describes it as "long non-coding RNA (ALYR_LNC000589)". The record is from RNAcentral. Lineage: Eukaryota; Viridiplantae; Streptophyta; Magnoliopsida; Brassicales; Brassicaceae.
CUUUAUAAGCUUAGACCAAUACUUAGUCACCUUGGACAUUCUCAUAUUGGUAUGGUUUGUAUUGACAAGUUUCAAGUUCACGUUUCGUUCCACUUCAACUGUUUUUAUAAUGAAAAAGACAUGAUCUCAUAUAUGUGACUUGCAAUGUUUUUCGCAUGUGAUCAUUAAAAAAUUUAAAAUUAGCGAAAGCAUUGAUGGACCAAUCUUUAAUUGGCUUGAUAAAUCUAUUGUAGAACCUCAAAUUCCAAGUCAACAUAAAAAAUUCUUUUUUUCUUCUUGAUUUCGUUGUAAAAUUCAAAAUACUUAAAUUUAGAAAGAUUUGUAGGAUACAUUUCGCCUUUCUCCUAUUAUGGAAAUAGGAGGAAGAGAUGAUUUAGAUAAAUAAUAAAAUCGAAUAGAAAAAAAAAAAAGAACAUAAAUCUAAAAUAUUACUUUGAACGUAUUCCAAACAAAAAGAUGAGAGAUUUUUGCGAUGUCAAAAAGGCAACAUAUGUAUAAUUUUGCACGAAUUCAGAAAUUUAGAUAGCAUUUUUAAAUUAAUAUUUUGUUGAGGUAUGAAUUAGCAUAGUAGUAUACAUAAUGUAUGAAUCGAAAAUAUUUUUUGUUGAGGUGUAUAAAAAAAAUGCUAUUUUCCUCAAAAUUGCCAUUCAACUUACAAUUCCAUGACCUAUGUAACAUAACUACCCAUAAAGCUAAAAGUAUGCACUAAAGCUUAGGAUCAACAUGCUACUAACUUUGAUUUAUUAUUUCAGCCAAUAGGUAAAAGUUUGGUUCUCUAUAAUUCUCUUGUUAUCCUAUAUAAUUGUCGUUGGCAUGUAGACGUAGUAAUACAUUUUGUUCUGAAUUUAAGGCAUUGGAAAAUUUUAGUGCUGCCAGAAAAUUAUUCCUUUUUUUCCCACAAUCUAUAUACCUUUUUUUCUGCUUCGUCUUAUUCCUUUCCUGCUCUUGUGUCCUCCAAUUGUCUAUCGUGUGUUUCAUAGACCUUUUUGUCAUCUUAGUGGAUAUGGUCAGGUAUUGAGAUUAUGGUAUCCGAUACAAAAUCUAGUUUCUUACCCGUAUCUAAUGUCAGAGAAUAGAGAUCACGAUACUUAGGCUCGUUAUUUUGGUCUUUUUGCAUGCAUUUAUGUUUUUAUAUUUUUGCUAAAUUUGCCUACAUAAUUGUGUAUGAUCAUGUAUUUUACAAUUAUUACGCAAGUUCCAAUGUGGGUAAUAAUUUAUUAACCUAACCAAAUGAAAAAGCUUGAAUUUUCUACUUUUUAGCCUCAUAUGGGUGCAUGAUCCAGAAGGAAUGAAUAACAAUUAACAGAUUUUUUUUAUUUAUAAACUCUACUUUUGCCUAAAGCAAAUUCCAUGAAGAGAUGCCUUUUUCCCUUAAUUAUUCUUUAAAAUACUUUUGAUACAAAUAAUACAAAGAUUAGACAAUCUACUUGCCUUCCUUUGCGUAUAUUUUAUAUGCUAUUUGCUCCAAUAUAAUAUAUUUCUUUAACAAAGAUGUUACCUACUUGGUUUUAAAAGAUUGUGUUGAGACCAAAUUGUCCGCAAAUGUAUUGUCCGAAUUAGACCCAAAAACGGGAAUCGCUGUCAAAUCAAUAUUAUAAUGUGAUAGAAGCCGUCUUCUUCUAUCCAACUAACAUAGUACAUAACACAUAAUACACUCCUUCACAUAUUAUCCCAAAAGAUGAACUCAUACAAAAACCCAUAAACUCAUCAAUAUAGGAAACGAAACAAUCCAAAUUAAAUGAUUAAAGUAACUCUUUUAUUAGGUCGGCACCAAAAUCUGCCAAACCUUAACUUGAGAGUCAAGUCCUCCACUAUAAAUAUGAUAAGAAGCCUCAGAUGGUUUACCGGAAUGACGAAUUGCCCCGGUCAAGCACUUAACCGGUCCUAUAUGUCCCUCCAACAUAGCCAAGCACGAAUAAUCCGUCCCUGAACAUUUCCACAGCCUCACUGUCUUAUCUGCUGAGCCACUACAAAGUAUGUCCGACACAACCGCAAGGCAUAGAACAGACUCUGUGUGACCUCGUAGCAUUCCAACAAGUACAAUGUCUCCACCUUCUUCUCUUUCCCACACCAAUAUUGAUCCGUCAGAUCCACCCGAAUGCAAAAGAGUGCCGUUAUUACCGCUCAAUGCCAGUGCGUUGAUACCCGAAUUAUGUUCCGACAAUAUUGCAACCAAAGAAUGUUUCUUCUUCUUCUUCUUCUUCUCAUUCUCUUCAUUGAUGUUUUUCCUCCAUACUUUGAUUCUCUGGUCAGAAGAUCCUGUGUAUAUAUCUCCGUUUUCGGAUAAUGCAACCGCAUUGAUUGCAUCAUCAUGGGCGUUUGUGAAUGACUCUAGGCAUUUAAAAUCGGAAGUACGCCAGAUUUUAAGCGUCCUGUCCCAUGAGACAGAGUAGAGUAGCGUUCCAUCUCUUGAUAAGGCUAAACCCGAAACCGCGUCUACAUGGUGAACCCAUGAAGCUUUCUUAUGCCUCCUUAUUUCAACUUGGUCCUUUGGCAUCAAACACUUUGCAAAACGAUCGCUAAUAGUUGGCAUCGUCGCUACAUGCAUGUACCUUUUACCACCCACGUCUUCUUCAACGACGUCGUUUAUCUUCCACACACGUAUCUUAUGAUCUUGGUGUGCUGUGAAUAGUUUAUCAGCCAGUAUUACCAAAGAUUUCACUGCUCCUCCGCCUCCUCUCUCUCCUGUUAUUACAUCGCCGUUGCUUGAUGCUUCCGCUAAUGUUUCCAACGUGUUUGCAUUCCAUAAUCUAACAACUCCGUCGUUGGAGCCUGUGUAAAGUCUCUUUCCUGCAAGGGUUAGAGAUGAAAUGUAGGAUGCUGUGUGACAUACAAGAGUGGCAAUACAUUGAUGAAGUGGUUGACAAGAAGAUGUUAGAUGAUCUUCUUGAGAAAAAUCAGGCUCUUCUUCGGAUUCUUGAAAUCGUAUCAUUGUUUCUUAUGAAGGAAGAUUGAACCAAUGAGCAAACCUUGGAGAGGUAAUAUAAAGAGAAAAAGUUUGGUACAUAGAAAGGAUGAAGUUUGGGGGAAAGUAGUGGAAACAACGAUUGGCUCUAAUACUUGGACUAUUCUAAUAUAUAUCAAUUUGGACUCUUUACAUUGUGAACAAAUCUGACCGAAAACGAAAAGAAUAAUGUGAUGGGAUGAUGAGUAGGAUGCAAUAUAUAUUUUAAAAUGUUGUAUUUAUUGACAUAAUCUUGUCUGGUAGAUUUCUUUCUUACAAAAGUGGAACAAAGUUAAAGGAUGGCUCUAGAUUAUUAUUUUAUUUGCGUUAAGGUUGGGAUGUGUUUCAUACGUUGUGAAUUGUAACACAUAUUAUUGAUUUCAUAUGUUAAAAUUUAACACAAAUUAGAUGUGUCAAACACUACCAAACCACCGCCACUAGAAACAAAUAUUAAAAAACCGAAUAACCCAAAUCAAAAAUAAUGCACCAACUUUAUUAAAACAAAUAAAUAAAUAAAUGAAUAAUGAACAAAAAUCAUGAAACUAAAAAGGGAUGUAAUACUAUUCUCCCUUCUUUCUUUUUUAGAAAAAUGGAUGUAAUAUUGUGUUUAUGUUAAGUCUUCUUCUAUAACUAAGCCAAGUCCUAGUAUCUCUAGUUGACACAAAACAUUGUGUUUCCAGAGAACAAAGUUUCCUUUUCUAUCAAAAUUUUCCACUUCAAAAUAUGCACGAGUUGAUUCCACUCUUGACUCAUGUUCUUGUGUUUCCUUUAACACAUAUUCCAGUUGAACCAGUCCCUUUCAGAACCCUCAGAGAUGAACACCAUGCAACAAGCCAACAAGAAUGAACAGAAUACCUCCUCUCAAGAGAAACAGUCACAAAACAAAACAAAAAUAUAAAAGCAAAGCACUUGGUCUCUGAUUCUUUGACGCCAACGGUCACUUGGGCCGCCAUAAUCAACUUGGGCCUACUUCAACAACUUUUGAAGCCCAUUCUUCAACAUUUCAAUCCAACUGCAUAAUAAGCCCUUCUAAACCGAGACCCAUAGUUGUAUUUGGGAUAAAACCGGAUAUAACCUGAAGAGCCACAAUUUCAUACCGGUGCUAACAUAUAAAUUUUGGUCUCUUUUAAGUCAUUGAAACAUUGGUGAAAGUCUGCAAAUGUAUAUACAUCUAUAUAAUAAAUUUAUAAUCUAAAAUCAAAAAUUGCAAAGAAAGUUACUAACCAUAGAUCGUGUAAUGGUAGAAAAUAAUUUAUGUUUUUGGUGGUUUUAGAAAGAAAGAUGAGAGAGAGAGGAUUAGAUUGUAGAAAGUGGGGGAAACACGAGAGGGGAAAAUGUUUUGAAGAAGUAAGAAACAUGUUGAUGAAAGUGUGCAAAGGAGAUGGGGAACAAAGAAUGGGUCCCUUAUUUACAUAUUUGCCGAUUUAAAAGCAUUUUGAUUGUUGAUGAGUCAACUUCAUUGUCUCCUUUGUUAUCCAUCACGUAAUUUUGAAAUUCUAACUCGUAAUUUACACGAAAAGUAACAUUUCCGCAACACAUCUCUCAAAUAACCACUUCAGUAAUUUACAUAUCACUUUAGCGAUUUGCUUUGUUAAUUAUUACCAAUGUCAUACACUCUUUCAAAAAAGCAUAACUAUCAAAAGAAAAAAAAUACUUUUGAAAAGCAUCGACUCUUGUUUGUGCUUGAUUUAGAUAACUUCUAACGUUUUGUAUGAGUAUUGAUUUAAGUAAAUGAUAUCUCUAAAGUUUGAACACAUUGAAUAAUCGCGUCUAACAUCGAUGAGAGAUGAUAGAACUAUCAACGUAUGAGAAUUCCAUUAUCGUCUAUGAUAAAAAAAAUCUAAAUAACAAGAUCAAAUAACUUUUUGCAAACAAUAAUUUAUUAAAAAAUCCACAAACGAUACUCUUUUUCCAUAGAUGUUAACACAUUCUUCUAAUAAAAAUGGAUAACCCUUGUUUCUGUUAGACGAAUAAAAGAAGCAAAAGAAGUUUGUUACAGAGAAUCAAAAGAGAAAACAUUUUUAUUCAUCUUGAGAUUCUUUUUACAAUAGAAACCUCUUAUAUAGUGAGAGGGUUUUGGUCUAAGACAUUAAACCAAUUACAAUUAGCCGGUUUAACAUAAACCGUUGAAUCAAUUCAAUUAUACAUCUAAUACCCUCCCUCAAGAUGGCAUGUAUAUAGAAAUCAAAGCCAUCUUGCCAACCAGAGUAAGAAACUGUGAUGGAUACAAGGCUUUAGUGAAAACAUCUGCAAUUUGCUGAUCAGUGGUGACAUGAAGUGUUUUUAUCAAGCCACUAGUGACGCAUUCUCGUACCUUGUGACAGUCUAGCUCCAAAUGCUUUGUCCUUUCAUGAAAUACUGCAUUAUUUGCAAUAUGAAUGGCAGCAGUAGAAUCACAGAACAUUGCAACAGAUCUUGACUGUGGCACCUGCAACUCCUGGAGAAGAUUCACCAACCAAAUAACUUCUUUUACAGCAAAACCCAUGGCUCUGUAUUCAGAUUCAGCUGAAGACAUGGAAACAGUAGGCUGUUUCUUUGAUUUCCAAGAGAUAAGUGAGUUCCCUAGAAACAUACAAUAACCAGUUGUUGAUCUCCUUGAGUCUUUGCAUGAGCCCCAAUCCGCAUCAGUGAAAGCUUUCAAAACCAUAUCAGACUCUGAGGAGUAAAACAAACCCAAACCAAUGUUUCCCUUGAGGUAGUGUAACACCUUAUAUGCAGCCUUUAAAUGAGACAUCUUAGGGGCAGAGGUGAAUUGACACAACCUAUUAACAGCAUAAGUAAUGUCAGGUCUGGUGAUUGUUAAGUACAUCAUCCUUCCUACCAAACGUCUGUAUAGUUGCGGAUCAUCAAUGAUAGGUUCAUCACUAUCAAGAACAAGCUUCACAUUAGGAUCCAUAGGAAUGGUAGACAGCUUGCAGGCAAGUAGCUUGGUUUCUUCCAACAACUCAAGUACAUACUUCCUUUGACAAACUGAAAUCCCUUGAGCAGACCUUGCUAUUUCUAAGCCAAGGAAAUACUGCAGAGUACCAAGAUCUCUGAGCUUAAAAGCUUUCUGCAAAUCCAAUUUCAGAGUGCUAACCGUAUCAUCAUCAUUCGCAGCAAUAAUAAUGUCAUCCACGUAGACUAAGACUGCAACAUACUUCCCAUUAACAUUUCUCACAAAUAAAGUGUGAUCUGUGUGAGAUUUCUGAAAACCAAGCUUCAAAAGAACAGAGCUAAACUUUAAAAACCACUGUCUUGAAGCCUGUUUUAAUCCAUAAAGAGAUUUGUGUAACUUACAAACUGCAUUUGGAGGUAAAGUCUCUCCUUCCUUUGCUGUAUAUCCUGGAGGAAGAUUCAUGUAGAUCUCUUCAUCAAGAUCUCCAUUCAAGAAGGCAUUUGAAAUGUCUAAUUGAUGCAAGCUCCAUUUCUUGGCAGCUGCAACAGCUAGAAGAGUUUUUACUGUAGUCAUCUUAGCAACAGGUGAAAAAGUGUCAACAAAAUCCACACCUUCCUGUUGUGUAUAGCCUUUAGCAACGAGUCUGGCCUUAUAACGUUCUAAGCUUCCGUCGGCAUUGAGCUUUGUUUUAUAAACCCACUUACAUCCAAUAGGCUUUUUAUUCGGAGGCAAAGAACAAAUAGACCAUGUGUUAGUACUUUCCAGGGCUAGAAGCUCUUCAUUCAUGGCAAGAAUCCAUUCAUCGAAUUUCUUAGCCUGAUGAAAACUUGAAGGCUCCGCAAAUUGUGUCACUGCACAAAUAUAGGCUUUAUAAUCAUCAGUUAAUCUUUCAUAUGACAUGUAAGCAGCCAAUGGAUGAGGUAUAUCAGCUGUAGUCAUAUUACAGUAGUAAUCAUGUAGAUAAGCUGGUGACUUAGACUUUCUCUUCUCUUUUCCUUUAUUCUGACUAUCAUUUGUUUUAGUAGCACUGGCAGUGAUAGUAUCUUCUUCAAUUCUAGAAGAAUCUCCUACUUCUAUAGAAUUGGUGCUAUCCAAAGCCUGGCCAUUAACUAAAACAGAGUCAAAAAUAGAGGAGAAAUCAGGUUGUGUAGACAUACCAGUAGCAAAGGGAAAUAUAUCUUCAUGGAACACAACAUUUCUGGAAAUGUGGAUAGUAUGUGUGUCCAGAUCCAAGAGUUUGUAGCCUUUAUAUCCAGCAGGAUAACCAAGAAAUAAGCAAGCUUUUGCUCGAGGCUGAAAUUUAUGCCGAUUCUUGGAAGAAGUAGAACUGUAGCAAAGGCAACCAAACACUCUUUAACCCUUAUACUCUGGCUUCUUAGAUGUCAAUACCUGAAAUGGCGAUUUAUGCUGAAGUAGAGGUGUUGGCAAACGAUUGAUUAGGAAAACUGAAGUCAGAACACAAUCUCCCCAAUAUUCCAAUGGAAGGUUUGCUUGAAACAUUAGUGAUCUUGCCACAUUUAAAAUGUGUUGAUGCUUUCUUUCAACAACCGAAUUUUGCUCCGGAGUCUCUGGACAGGAGUGGUAUGACUGAAUCCCCUUAGCCUUGUAAAGCUCAGUGAACUGAAGCUCCGGUGCAUUAUCAGACCUGACACCUUUGACAACAGCCUUGUAUUGAGUUUCAAUCAUUUUAAGAAAGUCAGGAAACACUUUUAAAACCUCUGACUUGGUUCUGAGUAGAUAAACCCAUGUCACUCUGCUGUGAUCAUCUACAAUGGUUAGAAAAUGUUUAUAUCCUUCCACAGUAGGAACAGAGAAAGGUCCCCAUAAGUCUAUAUGAAGCAAGUCAAAAGCAUUCUUAGAUAUAUUGUUGUUAGAAAUAUAUGGAAGAUGCUUUUGCUUUGCAAGAGGACAAAUGGAACAAGGUAGACCUUUAUUAUUAUUACUCUGUUUGAUUCCAAGUACAUUGGUAAUAGAUUCUAGCUUAGCAACAGAUGGAUGUCCUAAUCUAUUAUGCCAUAAGGUAGAAUCUGCUACUACAUUGACAGAAUAGGACAUGUUUUCAUCAUUAGAAGCUGCAAGUGAAUCUCUAUCCAAGACGUAUAGGUUUGAUAUCUGCUCACCAUUCCCAAUCGUCAAGCCCUUGAUAGGAUCCUGUAUCAUACAAGAUACUUCAUCAAAUAUCACACGACAACUCAGAUCUUUAGUUAGUUGACUAACACUGAGCAAAUUGAGACGAAAAUCUGGUAUAUAUAGAACAUUGCUCAAUACCAGACAUUCAUUCAAUCUUAUUGUACCAAUGCCUGCAAUUUUAAUAUCUGGACCCGUUGGUAAAGUCACAGACUUAUCAGAGAAAGUAUCUGACAUACUCACAAAGAGAGAUUUAUCAUGUGAAACAUGAUGUGUUGCUCCACUAUCGAUGAUCAUAGACUUAGAUGAUAAUGUGUUACCUGUGGCUCUCAAAAUCCCAACAAAAUGAAGUGUAGAGGAUGAGAAAGCCAUACCAGGUAAAGCGGUGAUAAGACCACCAGAAGUAGAUGGCAUCAUAGUCUGAUCGAGUGGUGUUGAUAAUUGUGAGUUGAAAUAGGCAAUGACACCUUGAAUCUGGUCUUGUGAAAGAGAAGGCGAUUGACUAGAAAAAGGCUGACCAAUGCUGAUGUUAUUAUUCACUUUUGGCUCAGUGAGAGCAACUUGUGCAACAACAGGCUUACUUGCACCAGUAGUGGAUUGUUUCCCUUUGUGUUUGAAACCAAUGGGAUAUCCAUGAAUCUUGUAGCAAGUGUCUUUGGUAUGACCAUUAUAACCACAGUGAGAACAAAUAGGUCGAGUAGACUUUUGACCAUUAUAGGCUGCAUUAAUCGAGAGAACAGAAGCUGCAGGUAUCUCAGGAGCAGCUACAUGAAAAGCUGAAGCAGUUUGAACAGGAUUGAUGCUUCUCUGACUGUGAUCUUGAUCAAGUAAAUUGUAAACUUCUGCAAGAGUAGGCACAUUCUUCUUCAUAAUGAUCUGACUGCGAGCACUUGAAUAAGACUCAUUAAGACCAGCCAAGAAUUUUAUGAUCUUUGUAUGCUCCGAAUGUGUUGAAAUAGUCUUGCAGCAAGCACAAUUCUGACAUGUUUGAACACAAUCUGCUCCAUCAAGGUCAUCCCACAAUGUCUUCAACUUUGUAUAAUAUGUGGAUAGAUUCAUUGAACCUUGAUGAAGAGACCAGAUUUGUUGUGUGAUUUGAUAAGAUCUUGGCAGAUUGGUGAUAUGAAAACGCACCAUUAAGUCAUGCCAAAUCUCAGAAGCAUCUUUGAAUCUCAGAAUGCUAUUAUAGAUUUCCUUUGUAACAGAAUUCAGAAUCCAAGAUUUCACCAUUGCAUUACACCGUGACCAAAUGCGAUAGUGCGUGUGUGUCUCUGAUGGUCUAGGAAGAGAACCAUCCACAAACACUAGUUUAUUCUUAGCAUCUAAAGCAUUAGUAAUGGCCAUGAUCCAGGUGUUAUAAUUUGUUCCAUCAAGAAUUUCAGAGACAAUUGAAGAUCCUGGAUUAUCACCAUUAUUCAAGAAAUAAGGCGAAAACUGGAUUCCAUCGAAAGCGAAGGUUUCUUGAGAGAUUAGAGGCGGAAUAACCUGAGGUUGAACUAGAUUUGAAGAAGAAGCAGGAUUAGCUCCAAAAACCACCGGAAUAGGUGUAGGAUCCACCGGAAUAGGUGCGGAUGUCGCCGGAAUAGGUCGAACAGUCCUCGAUCGAGCUGGAGUUGAAGAACUAGCACCGCGUGCUAAUCGCUUCGAAGUACGACGGAGAGUAACCAUUUUGAGCUCAAAUUUGAAGAAAAGAAUCGAUCGGGAGAGAAGAUCCGAUCAACUAAGGUCAAAGAACGAAGAGAACGAAGAUCGGAAACGAAGAUCGUUGAUGGUGAAGUUGAAUUCACCGCUCUGAUACCAUGUUAGACGAAUAAAAGAAGCAAAAGAAGUUUGUUACAGAGAAUCAAAAGAGAAAACAUUUUUAUUCAUCUUGAGAUUCUUUUUACAAUAGAAACCUCUUAUAUAGUGAGAGGGUUUUGGUCUAAGACAUUAAACCAAUUACAAUUAGCCGGUUUAACAUAAACCGUUGAAUCAAUUCAAUUAUACAUCUAAUAGUUUCCUUGGUUGAACAACGAUAUUUGGAACUUGCAAGAUUUGAUUCCCUCUCAAAUAUCGGUUUAAGCUAAAUCAUUUAACUCUCUGUUGGAUUGUAACUCGAAAUUUUGAGCAAGAGUCAUUCUUUUAUACGAUUUUUUUUGUUAAUUUUCGAUUCUUUAUACUAUAUUAGCAUAAGAUAUAAUAAAUAUUCUAAGAACUCUAUAUCAUAGUUGUCUAUUACAUUUGUCCUUCCAAACCAACAAACGUUUUUGUUUUUAAAUCCUGCAGGAAUACUAAUAUUGUUACUUCUAGGUAUAUUUACGAGUUAUCGUUGAAAAUUGAACGUGCGGAAGACAGAGAAAUAAGCUUUAAUUAUGGCAAAAAAAGUUCUCAAAUGGGUGGUUAGAUAGAAAAAAAAAAGAGCAAAACGUUGAGGUUGAUUAAAAUGGUGCAAAAUGAGUGGUUCUGUUUGUUAAAAUGGAAGAAUGCACGAGUUUCAUCAUGCUUUUCCUUCGUUUUGUCUUUUUAUUGGGACAUUAUUCCAAUAUUUUCAAGAUCGCUAUGAGUAAAUAUUAUUUCCCCCUUUUCCUCGAUUUCACGUGUGGAUCACUUCACAGUCUCCACUACCUUUGUCUAGCUCGGUGCUACUGGGUCAAACUCCUUUGUACUAUUUUACAGUUUGAAGUUAGUUCUCAAUCGAAUUCUACUAGACUCAACAGUUCUCUUUUAACACGUUUUUAGUCUUAUAAUUAAAUUUACAAUAUAUAUAGAAUAAAAUGAAUAAAUAAUUAAUAGAGUUUUCUCGAAAAAUCCUCUUCAAAUCUUUUUUUUUUACAAUUUGAUUCUCUAUCUCCAAAAAAGGCAAAUUAGUCAUAAAAAAUAAAAUAAUACACAAUAUAACACUGAAACGUAUUUUCUAAAACUUUUUACGGCCAUAUAAUUAAAUUUUAAAAAUUCUAAAAGUGGAUUUGAAAUUCUCGUCAAGUGAGUUUUUGAUUGGAUAUAUUAUUUAUAAUUUUCUUGCAAGAUUGACGGUAAUAACACCAGGUUAUAUUACUUAUUAAUUUUAACUUUGCUUGAGUGACUUACAUUUUUUGGAGAUGAAGACAAAAUUACAAAAUAAAAGUUUUUGGAAGUUUUUUUUUAAUAGAAAACCCCUUAUUAUUACUAUUAUUGUUAAGGAUGAAUUUUCGGGAUUUAUAGAAUGAUGUGAUAUCGUGAUCCCAUUAACUUCAGAGAGCCAAAGUCACCGAAAGUUGUUUCUUUUUCUUAAUUGGUAAAUUCAAUAGAUGUUUGUGUACUGGUGGUAAUUGGUAAGAAGGAGACCCACAUGUUUUAAUUAUUAAAUUAUGUGUAUAUAUAUUUGCACUAUUUGUAUGAUUUAAAUUCAAAACACAUAAAAGGAGAUAAUAUAAAGUAAAUUUAAAAUUUAAAAUGAAGAGUAUAUGCACUUGACUAGAUGACCAUAUGUUAGUCAUUUAUUUUCGUUAACUGAUGGAUGACCAAAUCAUAAAUAAGUUGGAUCAUUUAGUACGGAUAUAUGUUUUUAACAAAUAGCAUAUAAUUAAAACAUUUAAAAAAAAAAUUGUAUGUUAUUUAAUUCGACGUACAAUAUUAUUUGAAUUCACGGUAUCCGUUUAUAACGAUUUCGUCACCGUGUUUUUUGUUUCCAGCAAAUAAGUCUCCAAAUGGUCAUAAAGAAAACUCAACAAAACUUAACUAUAAUAAGCAUUUUUUUCAGUUAUUAGUUAUGCAAUUUACUAUAUUUGUUAGUAAAAUACUUAACUUUUAUUUAUCAUAUCCAUUUUUUCAGUAUUAAUCCUAAUUUAACUACUACAUGUUGGUGGAAGAGAGAGAGUAAAUAAGAUCUUUACCACUUUGUGUUGGUCUCUCCGUAGCACGCGUGGUAGGACCUUUGAUACUCUGUCAUACAACGGUAUCACUACCACAAGAAGGGAAUGCUCGUUCGCUUCUAAGUAGUCGAGAAGUUGACCAGAUUGUGACCAAUUCCUCCACCCAGAGAGAUGAUAUUGCGCCAUUAUUGCGCCAUUACUUAUUCUUGUUUUAAUUUAUGGAAGAUAAAGUAACUAACACCAAAAGAGAGAUUAUGAGAAAGAUAUAUAUAUAUAUAUAUAUAUAUAUAUAUAUAUAUAUAAUAACGUUUAAAAAUCUAAUUUCAAACACAUUAUUCUAUUUGAUCAAAAAAAAAAAUUGAUAAAAAAAACAUAUUAUUCUGCAUCAUUUUCUAUAUAUCUAAUUAUAUCAUUAAUCCAUUUCUUACGAAAAAUUCAAUAAUAUAAGAAAAUUUAUUCUAUACUGUAAAAUACAGAUUUACUCGCUCUGAAAAAACAUGUUAUAACUUCUACUCAAACAAUUAUAUUUAAUGCAGGUUAAUUAUAUACAUAUAUAAUCACUUUUCUGUAUUUUAUAACAUCUUAAUUAGGAAAAGUAUGCUACCUAGUUACUAAUAAAAGAAAAUACAGUAAAUCAUACUCCCUCUCUGUCCCAAUAUAUUACAUGAUUUGACUAAAAGGGUACAUAGUAAAAAAAUUAAUUUUUUUGCAAAAUAUCAUUUAAUAUUUUAAUUUGAAACAGCUCAACCAAUCAUAGAAAAUAUUUUAAAAUAUAAUAACUACAAAACAUGAAAUUCAUUUAAAUUUUGUAUAAAAACUUUAUCUAAUAAAUUGAAACAAACAAAAACUCCUAAAACAUCUAAUAAAAUGGGAUAUAGUGAGUAUUAUAUUCCGACAAAAUCACAUCGCCCUAGUUCUGAAGAAAAGGAUUAUAAUUCUCAUCAUAUGAAUUUAUAGUUUUGAGAAAUAUUUUGGUUUUUUUUUUUUUUGGUAAACAUGUGAAGAAAACAGCAUGCUUUUAUAAAGAUGUACGGUCGUGUUGCCAUACUCCGACGCAAGAGUAAGUAGAGUAUUUUGGUUUUGUUUAGGUGACUAUUGACAUUUGAUAAUCUAUAUUUACAUUGUAGAUAUUUAAAAACUCUAAGCAAUUGACAAGUUAGAAACUACUAUAUUUUGAUCUUCGUAAUAUGUAUUAUAAAUUAUCAGUGAUGUAUCAUUAUCCGAAUUCAAAACCCUCAUAAUAUAUAAUUUUGUUGGAAAAAAAGAAAACUAAUAUAUGGCAUAUCUCUACGUUUGGUGAUAGAAAAAAAUAAUAUCUCCACGUUUAAGUCAACAAAAGCUAAUAUAUGGCAUAAAUAAGUAGUAUUUAUUUUCCAAAGAAAAUCUGGGAUAAGAAGAGACAAAGUAAAAAAAGAGACAAGUAAUAAUGAAGAGAAAAGACAAAAUUGGCGGGUGUUCGUUGUCAAAGAAUGCAUGCGUGUGGAGGAAGCUGGUCCAAUGUUCCCCACCGGAAAAGUGCUCUCUCCUUCUAUAACCACUAAUUUGUAUUUACACCCAUCUUAACAUUUUUCGUUACUUUCAUGAUAUCUCACUAAAAUUUUUUUACAUAUAUAUAUAUUUUAAACACUUGAACAUAGCAAUCAAAUUACCAUCCCUAUAAAUACCUUACAACAAUCAUUCUUCCAAAACUAUUAAUCAACAAACUUAAUUCAAAUAUUACCUUAAUUUUACUAUUUUAUUAAGUCAUUUGUUUUUUUGCAUGAUUGAUGUUAGUAUUUGUUAUUAGAUUGUCUCAAGAAAACAAAAAGGCUAGAUCACAUGCUUACUCAAAUCGAAAAGAAAACAGUAUCCGAAAAGCUUCACCAAAUUAGAAAUAUAAAUGACACAAGAGGGUUUACAUAAGUGGAGUAUAACAGGUAGGGCUACGCGUAAGUCUCCCUAGGAUUUGGAAUCCACUAUCAAUAAAUUUUUAUAGUAAAAGAUUAAUUACAAAAACAAAAACCUAAACCUUGGCAAAACUACAUGUUAUGAUUCCUAGUGGCAUUUGGUUUGUUUACACUUAUAUCAGUUCAUGUGUUUUUCUAUUAUAGGAGUUUUGUUUCCUGGGAAAUCUAGUUUUCCACCAGCUUUGUAUUCAUUAAUAUUAAUUUCUCUAGUCGACUUUGUAUCCUUUAAAGUUUUAAUACUCUUUCUGUUUCACAAAGAGUGUCGUUUUAAGGUUUUAAUCUUGUUUUACAAAGAGUGUGGUUUUAUGUUUUCAAUGCAGUUUUUAAGACUAAUUCUUUUUUUUUUAUCUCUACUUUUUCAGUUUAUUAAUUAGAGAGAGAGUAUUAUCUAGUAUAUUAAUGAGGGGUAGAAAAGAAAUCUGUUUACUUUUCUUAAUUUGUGUGUAAAAUGAUAGAAUGACACUCUUUGUGAAACAGAGGGAGUAAAAUUUUAGAUGACAAAAAGAACAAAAAAAGACCUUCUAAAACCACUCACUCACCAACAACCAAUUUGAAAAAGACCUUUUAUAUGUGCUUCUUAAAUGCUUCGUUUCAGCUAUUGUCAUCUUCGAUUUGAUGCUUAAUGCCAGGAUUUGUUGCUGCAAAACCAAGAAAUCGAUGCUCUGCACCAGAAUUUGGUUCAGCUCGAGAAAUGUAUGCGCAAUCCAAAAUUUUCGAAAAUCGAUCCGACUUAAACCGAACUGUUUUCUUUUUCGGCAGCUUCUCCACCGAACCAAAAAAUAGAUUAACCCGUUUCCAAGGACUAAAACAUAGAGUUCGAUAUCUACACAUAAUUAAUAUUCCAUGCAAAUUACUCCCUCUGUUUUUUUAGUUGAUGUUUUAGAAGAAUUUUUUUGUUCUAAAUUAGAUGAUGUUUUCAGUUUUCAAUGCAGUAUUAAUUAGUUUUUUUUAUUAGUUUUGACGAUUUAUAUUCUGCAGAUUAUUUUUCUAUUUGUUGAUUCAUUAAUAAAUAAUGUUUUAGUUUAGAAAUAAACAAAAAUUAAAUAAUUCCUUAAUCGAUGUGCAAAAAUUUUAAACAUCAAGUAAAAGGAAGUGGAGGGAGUGUAAUUUGUAUUAAUUUAAACCUGAACUCUUGCCUCAUAUUGGAAUAGUAAAAUAAAAUUUUGUUAUAUAUAGGUAAUUAAUUAAUGUAAAAAUGGUUUAACUCUAAAAUUUAGCUUAGCAUUUGACAAGAAUAUGACUCAUAUAGUUUUAACCCUUACAAAUUAUAGAUAUUCUUAAUUCGUUAUAAAUAUACAAACAUAUAAUUAUAAUUUUUUAGGCAGCACUAUUUGUGCGUAAUAGAUAAUAUUUAUACUUAACUUAACCCUACAUUCUUAAAAACCUUAACUGUAACAAUUAAUCAAAUCCGAAUCCUAACACGUACGUAUAAACCUUAAUUAAGCCUAACAUAAAUUUAUACUUUCAUAUCUACAAAGCAUAAUAUAUUGUAUGUUUUGAGUUAUCUGACUUCCAACACUUACCGCCUCAUUAAAAUAGGUUAACUAUGGAAAAAUUAAAUGGGAUUACACAUACCAAGUAGUAUGUUUGAUAUAACUGUGAUAUUAAUUAAAUUCAUUAAUUUAAUUAAAAAUUUACAUACUGUUGACUUUAAUUAACAGGUUAACUAAUUUCAAAAGUAAUGUGUCAAAAGCAAAGUUAGAUUAAAAAAAAAACAUCCAUGAGACAAAAAAAUUUAUUUAACAAUAUUUUUAAAAAAAUCUUUUGUUUUUAUCAGUAGAUACAAACUCUGUGAAAGUAAAGGGUUGGUGAACAAAAGUAAAAGAAACUUGGGCGAGUACUCGUGUGAGGUGUUACCAUCGAGCAAUCAAGUAAAUACUUACUUUAAUUCCAUUUAAUUUAUUUAUUGAAAAAUGACAACAAACACACAUUAAAGUAUAUGUGUAUAUAUAGAUACGUGUGUGCAUGGGUCUCCUCUAUAUGAGUGAUCAAAAAUUGUAUUGGAGUUCAGCUACAAAAUCUUCUCAUUCGAUUAUCUCUCUUUAUUUCUUCUCUAAUGAAGGGAACUCUAAGAUACUUAGCAGGAAUAGCAGGGCCAAAUGGGUUUGGCUCAAGAUCCACAGCUGAACAAGUUACACAACGUAGCUUUUUUCCUUGUUCACAUCUCACUGCCAUAAUCACUGGUUUGUCUCCCCUCAUCACUUAAACUACCAUUUGCUAUUUCAGUCUUUAUAGUGUUUUUGUUGAGUAGAUAUUCGCGUAUCUUUCCAAUUUUAUUGGAUGUUCCGGGAGGGACAUUCUGCAUUCGUGUGUCCUUCCCCUUACACAAGGAACGUUCUUUCAAAGGUCCUCAACAAAAAUAAAAGAAUAGUUGCGAACUUACAUGAUUGAAGCACAUAGUCGAUAAUUCCUAAAAGCUUUAUUUUCAUCAAAAGCUUUAUCUUUAGAGUCUUAGAGAAGGAAGAAUAACUGCGAUAAGAAACUCCUCAAUCUAAUGUUUUGAAGAUUUAUUUUUAUCAAAAGAUUCUGAUAUUCACAAACUAGAGAGGAUAUAUCUUAUAUCUAAUAUUUCACUUAUUGUUGAAAUUAUUAUUGUUAUAAUUCCAUAACACAAAAGUAGCUAGGCUAGGAGUCAGCCAGUAGACUUCUGUUAUAAGUUGUAAUUUUCCAAUACAUGGGAAAUAAACUUUUCAGGCAAAAACACGAUCUGUAUAUAUUAAUAUCAUUAUCAUAUGAGAUAUGUGUUUUGUUUAUGCCGGCGACAAUAUAUGGAUUUUGUCUCCAUUGAAAUUUGAAACAUUAGGUAUGGUUGGUUACAGCAUAUCUCCCAUAUACAAUUGAUUUGCCUUUUGACUUUAACCUUUGAAACAUGUCUCAUCGUUGCAAAACAUUACUUUAUUUUAAUUUUCUUUAGCGAUCAGCCUGCCCAAAACGUACUUUAUGCUAUCUUUAUGUUCCCUAAUUUGUCGGUUAAAACUUUAUGCAAUGAGGGUCAAUGAAUAGGCCUCUCUUUACUCUUUUUCUUGAAGUUGCAAAGAAAAACAAAAAGGCUGCUUGUAGAGACAUCAAUUGUAGAAAACCAAUUCCAAAUUGUAGUGAAAUAAUCCGGUUAAUGAUAUAUGAUUUUAGUUAUACCGGAUUUGAAUUUGAGUGUGGUAUUUUUUUCAUACACACACACACUCUAAUCCCUGGUAAAUCAUAUGAAACGACUAAGUUUCAAUUUUGUUAAAUACUGUACACUUGCUAAAAGUAUUUUUAUCUGAGAAAGUCCAAAAGCAUCCAUUUCAAAACUAAACUGAUAAGAACUGAAAUGGUUCAUGCAUGUUUUAUAUAUCCUAGAUUGUAUUAUGUACAAAACGUUUGAUUCAUCCUAGUUUCUAACAGGAGGAACGUCUGGGAUCGGUGCGGAAACAGCGAGAGUCUUAGCAAAAAGAGGGGUGAGAGUAGUGAUGGCAGUAAGAGAUAUGAAGAAAGCAGAGAUGGUAAAGGAGAGAAUAUUGAGAGAGAAUCCAGAAGCUGACGUUAAAUUGUUUGAGAUUGAUCUCAGCUCUCUCUCUUCCGUUGCAAGAUUCUGCUCUCAGUUUCUUUCCCAAGAUCUUCCCCUCAACAUUCUCAUGUACGUAAGAUUCACUCUACACGCUACCUCAUGCACCCAUGCACGUACCGAUAUGUAUAUAUACAGAAUGAGACUUUAAUAAUUCUUUGGGAUAAAAUGAAUUUUGCAGAAACAAUGCAGGGGUUUUCUCUCCAGAUCUUGAAUUUUCCGAAGAAAAGAUUGAGCUGACAUUUGCUACAAACUUUUUGGGUAAUUUUGUUGAAUUAUGUGACACAUGACUAUAUCUAUGUAGAGUGAGAGAAAAUAAAUGAUGGUUAGUAUUACUUUUCAGGACAUUACUUAUUAACAGAAAUGCUGAUAGAGAAAAUGAUAGACACCGCAGAGAAGAGUGGAAUCGAAGGACGAAUUAUUAACCUUUCCUCAGUGAUUCACAGUUGGGUCAAGCCUGAUUGUUUCUCCUUCCCUAAAUUACUCCAUCCCAUUAGGUAAUUUACAUUCAUUUUCCAUUUAUUACGUGUGAAAAUCUAAGAAUUUUUUUUUAGUAAUUGUGUUGUGUAAUCGUGUAGGUAUAACGGGACAAGGGCUUAUGCUCACUCAAAGUUGGCCACAAUUUUACAUGCCAAAGCGUUGAGCAAGCAAUUAAAGGUACAUUCGAAUAAAAUAGCUAAUUACAUCUUUCUUUCUUUUUUCUUAACAUUUUCACGAAAAUAAUAAUUUGAAAUAUUCACAACUAAACGUGUUACAGGACAGAAAUGCAAAUGUCACGAUAAAUGCGGUCCAUCCAGGAAUCGUUAAAACUGGAAUUAUCAGAGCACACAAGGGUCUUUUUACAGGUAACGUAAAACUUUUUAACCAUACAUAUAUAUAUAGAAGUGCAAAAGGAAUCUAAUAAGUAAAAAUUUCAAAAGAAGAAAAAUCUAAAACAUGAUGUGGUCUGAUGAUGCAUGCAGAUUCUCUGUUUUUGAUAGCUUCGAAGCUGCUAAAAUCUAUAAGCCAGGUUGGUGUGAAUAAUAUAUGCUUUCCUUUUUGUCUAAAUAGUACAGCUAUGGCCUAACAAGCUCAUUCUCUUUUUCUGACACUAGAUGUCUAGAUUCCUUUUUGUUUUUUUUGCAUCCCAAAUAAAAGUUUUGUCAUCAUCAAUAUUCAUGCAUAGACUCAUAUACAUAUGGGAUUAGGGCGCAGCUACAAUACACAUCUCAUAUAUACAUGCCACCGAAUCAAAUCACUGCAAUAAAGUACACCUUUGAAAAAAAAAUUAUAAUAAUAUUAAGGAUAAAUUUGAUUGUAUACCUAUGUCUUACUAGAAAUUUGAAUAUUUGCUUAUGGGAUUAGGGCGCAGCUACAACAUGUUAUGUGGCAUUGAGCAACGAAACCAAAGGGUUAAGUGGAAAGUAUUUUGCAGACUGCAAUGAGACCGAAAGCUCAGAUUUAGCGAAUGAUGAGUCUGUGGCUUUCAAGCUAUGCACCCACAGUCAUGCCUUAAUCCAUGAUUAUUUGCAUCAAUCGCAAAUACAUUCCCUUCCUAAUUUAUGUCUUAUGUAAAUCAUCUUAAUAAUUUCCUUUUCUGUCAAAGACCAUCCUUCAUUUUAUUCAUGUAAAGCAGUGUUUUAUAAACAAGACCGAUCUCGUACGUCGUGUGUAAUUAUCGAGAAGACCAUACAAAUAUGGAACAAUGAAUUCUAUUAAGUUUCAUAGUUUAGUCAUCAGUCAAUACAGGAAUUGUUUACCACGAAAAGUUUUAUAUAUUUAUUGUGUACGUAUGUUUUAAACUUUUGACAAAAGUUUAAUUGUGAGAAAGACAACUGAGAAAUUAAAAUAUCUCAUAAACAACAAAAAGUUGUGCUAUACGCCUAUAUUGCUAUUUACUUGUUUACGUUCUAGUGGUAUUUGCUAUAAUCUUAAAAUAUUGUUAGAAGUUAAACAAAACCAUAGAGGUUUGUUGUUCGAGUUUUUUUUAUUAGUUGACUUAUAAGAGGGAACCAACUUGGCGUGUGGACAUUCCAAUCUAUGUGUAUAGCGUGUUGUUGUGCCUUACCAAUAGCAUAGCAACUACGUAUAUCAAGCUAUCAACCAUUUAAGGUCUUUUCAUAGUUAAUACUCCCUCCGUAUUUUAAUAAGUGUCAUUUUAGAAUUUUUAAUUUUUUUGAAUUGGAUGUCGUUUUCAAAUUUCUAUACAAAAUUUAUUACUUUUUAAUGUUUUAUGAUAUCAUAAAACAUUAAAAAGUAAAAAAUUUUGCAUAGAAAUUUGAAAACGACAUCUAAUUUUUAAAAAAAGAAAAUCCUAAAACGACACUUAUUAAAAUACGGAGGGAGUAUAUGUUUUAGAAAUAUAUAUUUAUAUGUCUUAGAAGUUAGCUUUAGUCAGCCCAAUUGUUUGUCUAUGGCAAUGAAUGGCGGGGGCGGAACCGGGCGGUUUGGGCAAAUCACUAAAUUAUGUCGCCAUUCACACAUCUCAUAAUGCUAUCUGUUACUCAUUAUUAAACAAUAAAUUAAACUUAUAGCAUCAGUAAAAGAAAACAAUCAGUCAAGUCGCAUAUUAGUCGCUAAAUGCUUGGUUACAACCAAAUAGCGACUAAAACAUGUCAAAAAUAUAUUCUUGUAAUAUAAAAAAUUUCACGAUAUACAAACGUAAUUUAAAAUUUAAGGCCCAAAAUCAAAUCCCUUUUCUUAGUAAAGUUUAUAUAUGUAUUUUCCUAUGAGUGCUUAAUGAAAAUAUCAACGACCCGUGAAACGGAAAGCUAAUACAACACGACUAAGUACUAAAGCAAUUUCUUCCAGAAUACAUGAAUUGAAGAUGGAUACGUCAUCUUAGCAUGCCACGAAUCCUUAGAUAUAGAAAGUAUAUAAUGUCAACUUCGGAAAAAUUAAUAAGUGAAACUUGCUAUAAACAAUAUUGUAUAUUAGCAAAAAAAGGAAAAAAAGAAAAAGAAAAAAACUACAAAUGUCGUUAGCUCAACGGGUAAUGAUCCUAGGCGAAGCUUUUUUUUUUUUUUUUUUUUUUUGACAUCUUUGGAUCGAAAAGGUCUGAUCCAUAGCCAAUCCCUACUACGCGGGGUAACGCGACUUAGUGGAGUCGAACUCCGGUGGGGAAGGCGGAGUCAAGUGGACUUAACCACUUGACUAAAAGCACAUCCCCGACCCUAGGCGAAGCUUAGAGGUCACCAGUUCGAAUGACGCUUGGGACGAAACUAAUAUUACAUGCUGUGGUUUCGGACUUGGGAGGAUUACGGGCUUUGGCCCAGAACAUCUUAGUAUUCAAAAAAAAAAAAAAAAACUACAAGUGUGUUCAAGUAUUUUAGCCAGUGGAUUAGAUUAAACUUCUACGAAGAGAGCAGUGGUUGACCUGAGAGUAUUAUUUAUAGAGAAUCCUCAGCGACUGAAUAUAAACAUAAAAUUUCUCUCUUGAGGAAGAUAAACAAAGAUCAAAGUAUUCUCCAGCCAUUUGGAAACUACUUGAUGGCCUUACCAAUGUUCGGCGGUAUUGACUUUACCAAUUUGUUUCUUGAGAAUCCAUAUUUCCUGGACAAACCAGACGAGAGCUUCGGGGGAACGUUUUUGCACCUAGCUGUGAAACUAGGGAACGAGGAACUCGUUAAGAAGAUAAUCGAGAUUCGCCCUUCCCUAAUCAGUUCCACUAACACCAAAGGUGACACACCUCUCCAUUUGGCUGCGGGAUUGGGACACACAAGCAUCUUGCUGCUGAUGUUAGAGUCCACAGCUGAGUCCAUAGAAAGCAUAGAGGAGACAAUGCCGAAUGAUCUAAACCUUGCAGAAAUGGUGAAUAAAGAUGGUUUGACACCUUUGCAUUGCGCGGUGAUGAAUGGCUCGGUGGAAACCCUGACUACGUUUAUCAACAAGGCUCCCUCGUCUUUUGACUCAGUCACACUACAAACGAGUGAAACAGUCUUCCAUUUAGCUGCCAGACACAAAAAGAUGGAAGCCUUUAUUUUCAUGGCCAAGAGUGCCAAACUAAGAAGACUUCUCUACGAGCUGGAUGGAGAGGGCAAUACUGUGCUUCAUGCUGCCGCAUCAGUAGGCUUUCUCUCCGUAAGUUCUCCUUCUUUUUUUUCUGUGUUUUCUACUUGUAGCAAAAAAUUUUUUUGUGUUUUCUAUUAGCAGCAAAAAAAAAUUCUCUUCAAAACUUUCUCUUGAAAUUUGAAUCGGUAUUCGCUUGUGGGGUGGCAAGAGUAGCACAUAGUUUCUACAAAGCCCAGUCUAGAUGAAAUAGUUAGCAUAACAUAUGCCCCAAAAAGAAACCCGGAGGAGAAACAAUCUGUAAACAAGGCUUAUAAAAACGAAGCCCAAGAGGCCUAGAAGGUGAAGGAUUUUUCAAAAAAAAAACAAGUUUUGUUAGUCUUUCGGCUAACUGCUAUUUCUCAAAUUCAUCAUAAUCAUCUGUAAUGUUUAAGGAGUUUUUUGUCCAAUGAAUAUGUAAACAGAUUCUGAUCUAAUAAAACUGACGUUAAGAAAAAAGAAAACUAUUUUCAAUGUGCUCUUACGAUUUUUUUUGGCACAACCGCAGGUUUAACAUUGUAUUGAUCAAAUAAUACCAAAAUAUCUUUAGUUAUUUGCUUAAUAUAUUUUUUUCAGUAUAUGUAGCUACAGUAACAAAUAAAAAGUCUUGCCUUAUUUUCAAAAACUCAACGUUAAUUUAAAAUACAAUUGAUUGCGUAUGCAUAUUUGAUUAAUCAUCAUUUGAGUUUUAAGGGUCCAUUUCAUUAACAAUAUUCCAUGCAUAAAGAUGAUAAAACGACCUUCUGAACUUUGAAGCAUUCAGAAAAAUAUACUCCCAUUUUUUCUUAUUAAUCCAAAUUCUAUAAAAAGUUUGUUCUAAAAAAGAUACAAUUUUUAACUUUUUAAUGUAUUUGUUUUAUUAAUUAUUGAUGAUGAAUUGUAAAUUUCAAGAAAAAUAAUUGAUUAUUAUGGUUUGGAAUUACAGAAAAUUGUUAAUCACAAAACUGACGCUGACGCAUCUAUAAUCAGUUUUUAAUAAGUAUGAAAAAAUUAAAAAUCGGAUUAAUUAGAAACAAAUAUAUUAAUCAAUUUUAUUAAAUGAGUUAGAAAAAUACACCACUUUGCAUCCGGGCUUUUAACCGAAAUUCUGCAAUAAUCUUUGAUAGAUUCCUUACAUAUCUUGGUAUUUCCAUCUGAAAUUCUCUAAUAUAUUAACAUAUUGCAGCUGGUAAGUUACAUAGUUCAUGAAAUAAAAAUAGAAGUCACCACCCAAAACGAUAAAGGUUUUGAAGCGGUUGAUCUUCUCAAUAAAGAUGAUGAAGAUUUCAAAAUGCUAUCUAUGAUUCUGGGGCGUGAUUCAGAAGUAUUUCAACGCAUUUCAAUUCUAGGAGAUGCUCAUACACCUGCAACAACAACCGAGGUGGAAAAUUCCGAAAUUCAUUAUGAGCAAGGACUUGUAGUUCCUGAAAUAAAAGAAGAGAACGUCACCGACAAGAACAAUAAAGUUUUUGAAGCGAUUAAACUUCUGAACAAAGACGAUGAAGAUUUAAAAAUGCUUGCUGGGACUGAUUCAGAAACAUUUCAAGUCCCUUCGAGUCGGAAAGGAAUUAUAACAUCUGAAACACAAACCGAGAUGGUAUUUUCGGAAACUCUCCAUAAAGUAGGACUUAGUCGUCGAGAGAGUCGCAUCAAAGAAAAAGAUAUGCAGUCAGAGGCUUUGCAAAACGCGAGGAAUACAAUUACGGUUGUCGCAGUCUUGAUUGCAUCGGUUACUUUCACUUGUGGAUUGAACCCGCCUGGUGGUGUCUAUCAGGAUGGACACUUCAUAGGGAAAGCAACCGCAGGGGGAACUGUGGCUUUCAAGGUCUUCUCGGUAAGCAAUAGCAUCGCGUUGUUUACAUCAAUAUGCAUCGUCAUUCUUCUGCUCAGCAUUAUACCAUUUAGGACGAAAUCACUCAAGACAUUCUUGAUUAUAACACAUAAGAUGAUUUGGGUGGCUGUUAUAGCCAUGGCAAGUGCUUAUGUCGCUGGUGCAUGUGUCACUUUACCCCAUUCUAGAGGAAACAAAUGGGUACUCAAAGCCACUCUGGUUAUUGCUUGUGUCAUGCUAGGAGGUAUGUUUAUUUGUCUUUGGUUUAAGCUGGCCAACCAUAUGUCAAGGAAGCAGAGGAUGAGAAGAUCUAUAAUGUCGAGGAAAGAAACCCUAGAUAGGGCAGCUGCUUUCGUGGAGGGCUACUACAGCUACUAAAAUUAUCUAUAUAUGUAUAUCCUUUUACUAAAGGUUUUGUGUCGUUAAUUUUGUAUAUCUGCAUUAAUUAUAAUUAUGUCGCUUGUAUAAAUGACUCUAUUAAUUAGUUGAAAUAAAUAUGCACAUCGAUUAUUGAUAUACUCCAUAUUCACCGCUUUAGCAAUGUUUUUAAUAUCCUUUUUUAUCGUGUUUCACUGUAUUUUCAUUGUUUUAUUGAAUUUAUUUUCCAAGUAAAUCUCCUUGCAUUUUAGAGAUCUUCUUAUGUUUUGUGUGUAUUUUGGUGUGUAUUGUGUGUCUCUUAAACCAUUUCAAGUUAAAAUAAUGGAGAAAACAAAUUUGGAUGCAAAUAAGAGAAAUGAUGAUCCAGUCUUUAAAACGAUUUAUAAUGCUCCAUAUCUCAGCAUGAAAGCUACGUCUACUUUUUGUUGUUGUAGAUUAUACGUCCAUAUGUAGUGCACCUAAUCUGCUGCUCUUCUACUAGUUCAUCCGAGAUAUUUUUAAUAUUUCGUGGGCCUGUGAGCUCCUUAGCCAGUAAGCCUCAAAAGCUUUUGUGAUUAAACACAAGUUUCAGCUUUCGGUAAUUUAUAUUCGCAUUUUAUACUAAAAAAAUAAAAGCUUAAUACUAAAAAAUAAUGCACAUCUCGAGUCCAUCAACUCGCGCAUAUUUUUACUUUAUAUGGUAAUCAAAUAGUCAAAUGUUCUCAUUUUGGCACCCAAGUUAGACAUUACUAAUCUAUACACGCCUACCUGAAAAAAGGAAUGUUAGGAGUUAUAUUGUGACUACGAUUAUAUGUAGAUAUCGUGUGUAUCUUUUGUCUCGGUUUUCUUAUCUUAAGUCGGUCCUCUUUGUGUAAAUACAUGCUUUCAGUCCACUGACUUGAGGCAUAAGAGUGAAUUCCCAAAUCUUCCUCUAAGUUGACAAUAUUUAACAAAACAAUUUAUCUAUUACAUCACGUCAAAAAUACAGUAGGGACACAAUCGCGCGGCUUGGCCUUACAAAAAAAAAAAAGAGAAGAAACACAAUCUAAGAUGAAAAAAAUCUUAAUAACAGAAAAAACAUUAAUUCACACAAAAUAUUUAUUUCUUCGGUUCGGGUGAGUCAAGGACACCUAGGGUUUCGACCAGGGCCUCCGUAGUAAAAAUAAGUCCCCCAUACAUUGUUUUUGCCUUGUCUGAUGUCAUAACAAGCCGGGUGAUCAGCCAAGACAUGGAGAUUCUUCAGAGGCAAGAGAUUGUUGUCCCAAUCAACAACUUGUAAGUUCCUAAAGUAGGCAGCUUUCUCAAACCCUUCAUCUGCGAAAUGGCCGCUUCCCAUCUGUGUUCCGGUGUGAGCACCGCUUGAUCGGCUGUUCACAACUUCGCCGCCAAAUUGUACCAUACUUGCAUGACUCCUCAAGUGACUGAACAAGAAAGCUGGCCAGUAUCCCACAAGAAGUCCAUUCCCUAGUUCAAGCCACCAGUGCCCAUGUUUUGGAUCCUACAUUAAGUUUCAAUUGACCACAAUAUUGGCAAUAGCACGUUUAGCUUCAAGACAACAAAAAGUAUAGUAUAGAUGAAAUAAUUUCUGUAAGUCAAAACAAUCGAAUGUUUCAAAACCAACAUAUAUGGCUUUGCAGGAUACACAGUUAAUUAAACAUCGUAUAUAUCGAUCAUUAUGUAAUCUUUAUAACCAGCUUCAUGUGAGUUACCAAAUAAACUUAUGUUUCAUAUAUUUAGUUAUACCAAGGGAGGUCAGCUAAAUUUGCGCAUACAGGUUUCUAGUUGAUGUACAUUAAAGAUUUGCUUUUACUGCAGGAGCAGUGAAGUUUCUGACAUCAAUUUCAUAUCCUCAAUUUAAUGCUCUUACCAAAUCCAACCUUUUUUAUUUAUUAACAAUGUUUUGAAAAAAGCUGAAGCCAUCUUUCUUUUAUUGGUUCACUUUAUGAAAUUCGAGGUUGGUUGCUUUCUUUAUUGUUUCUCAAAGAGUUACAAGUAUUCAAAGUACCUACAAUGGCACACGUUGUAAUAACUAAGCAUUGCCUCGGGGUGAUUUUCAUUCAUUUAUUGAUGAGUCAUAUUAGGUUAAAUUAUGAUUACGUGAGCUCUUUUUGUGACGUGAGUUAUGUCUCUUUUUGUUUUUUUUUUGAGCAACAGACGUGAGUUAUGUAUGUCUAUAAGUAAUUACAGCCUAAAAUUUUCACCAUGAUGAUUUGGUUUUCAAUUUGUUUAUGUGAAAAUGGAUUAAGUAGACAUAACAUUUAAAUAAAUGUUAUUUUUAAAAAAAAACAUUCAAAUAAAUGUUUAU